This 869-nucleotide ribosomal RNA is filed under the name uncultured bacterium. RNAcentral describes it as "bacterial SSU rRNA". It matches the Rfam family "Bacterial small subunit ribosomal RNA", at positions 8 to 916 of the family's 1533-position model. The record is from RNAcentral.
AGAGUUUGAUCCUGGCUCAGGAUGAACGCUGGCGGCGUGCCUAAGACAUGCAAGUCGAGUGGGUUUAGGCCCACGGCAAACGGGUGAGUAAUAUCUAGGAACAUACCUCGAGUUGAGCAUAACCUACCGAAAGGUAGAGCAAUUCUCAAUGUGACCGCAAGGUUAAAGUCGCAAGACGCUCGAGAAGUGGCCUGGACACCAUCAGCUAGUUGGUAAGGUAAAGGCUUACCAAGGCUUUGACGGUUAGGGGCCCCGAGAGGGGAAACCCCCACACUGGAACUGAGACACGGUCCAGACUCCUACGGGAGGCAGCAGUUUGGAAUUUUGGACAAUGGGCGAAAGCCUGAUCCAGCGACGCCGCGUGGACGAUGAAGGUCUUCGGAUCGUAAAGUCCUUUUGUUAGGGAAGAAUAUUUUGACGGUACCUAACGAAUAAGAGGUUGCUAACUCUGUGCCAGCAGCAGCGGUAAUACAGAGACCUCGAGCGUUAUCCGGAAUCAUUGGGCGUAAAGCGUACCGAUAGGUGGUUAAGAAAGUCAGAUGUGAAAUCUCCGAGCUCAACUCGGAAUCUGUCAUUUGAAACUUCUUGACUAGAGGAGCAAAGAGGAAGCUGGAACGAACGGUGUAGUAGUGAAAUGCGUUGAUAUCGUUCGGAACACCAAUAGCGUAGGCAGGCUUCUGGGUGCUACCUGACACUGCUAGGACGAAAGCGUGGGGAGCGAAGGGGAUUAGAUACCCCCGUAGUCCACGCUGUAAACGAUGUACAUUAGGCGCUAGGGAGUAUCGACCCUCUUUAGUGCCAAAGCUAACGCGUUAAAUGUACCGCCUGGGGAGUACGGCCGCAAGGCUAAAACUCAAAGGAAUUGACGG